Molecule: long non-coding RNA, 1107 nt
Filed under: Equus asinus (donkey)
Lineage: Eukaryota; Metazoa; Chordata; Mammalia; Perissodactyla; Equidae
Description: lncRNA (ENSEASG00005011461.2, ENSEASG00020026936.1)
Source: RNAcentral
AAGAACUUUCUAUUUUUCUGUUUGGCCUUCUUAACACAAGGCUUUCAAACUCAAUGUUCCUUCAUGGUCACAAGAUGGCUGCUAGGUCUCUAGCCAUCACAACCACCUUCCAGCCAGGACAAAGAGGAAGGUGAGAAGGGCAAAAAGCUAUGCUUUCCACCUGAGUCAGCCUCCUUUAGGAAAAGUUCCCAGACACUCACUUCUUCCACUUAUAUUUCACUGGCUGUCCCUAGCUACAAGGGAAAUAUUUUGUUGUCUCAAAUACAUUGAAUAUAUUGCCUUUACGUCAUCACUUUUGGUUGCUCUACAGUAUACAUUACUUACUUUCUGGUUCUCAAUUAUAUUCUAGUUAGGUGGAAUAUGACUCAAUAUUUAAAAUAAAUAUAAGUGUUUUGAUUUUCAUGGCCCUUGGCUACUGUCAAAGAUAAAUCAAUAGCUAUACAAUGGAUAAAACAUUAAGCAUCAAAAUCCUAUCCAGGGAGCACUGUGGAAGUGGCAAAACUAACUCCCACAAUUGCAGUUAAUUCAGUUCCAUGUUUACUGAACAGCUUUAGUGCCGGCUAGACGCAGUCGCCUGUGGUGGGCAGUGGGGACAAUCGGGACGGCCCUGUCCUUGAGGAGGUCCAGCUUCCGUGACUCACAGGUGCCUGGAGGCAGGGGGAAGUCACUAGACGGUUUUACGGAGAGGACAGAUGGCAUCUCUGAAGCAUAGCUUGGACUGCGGAAGGCCAGCGGGGGGCACGGCGGCUUGAGGCGGGCGGUUUUGUUCUAGAGCCCAACCACUGCCCUGCGUGGCUUGUUCUCUGCUGUCCGAUGACCACACCUCACCUUCUGCACCGUGCGCCUGACCUACCCCCAAAUCCUCAGGAUCUCCCACCUUCAGAUUUUCCUUACCUCGCACUUGCAGUUUGAUGCCUACCCACUAGAAGUCCUGGGCGAGCGGUGGUGACUUUCUGGGCUCCAGAGUCUGUGCCAUCUUCAUUCAUUCGUCCUCCACGCAUUUCCUGAGCUCCUCCUGCUCCGGGCUGGGGUUCCACAGGUGAAUCAGACUCGACUCUUACCCUCAACACAGGGACAAGGCCUGCCAGCCUCAGGACUGAAACUCAC